This 497-nucleotide ribosomal RNA is filed under the name uncultured bacterium. RNAcentral describes it as "partial 16S ribosomal RNA". The stretch from base 57 to 497 matches the Rfam family "Bacterial small subunit ribosomal RNA", at positions 38 to 507 of the family's 1533-position model. The record is from RNAcentral.
GGGGGGGGGGGGGGGGGGGGGUAGGGGAGGCGAGUGGGGCGGAGGGGGGGGGAGGGGGCGGCGCGGAGGGGAGCGGCGGAGGGGGGAGUGAGACGUGGAUAACCUACCUAUCAGCGUGGGAUAAGUUGGGGAAACCGGAGCUAAUACCGGAUAAUAUUGUGAACGGCAUGGUUCACACGGGAAAGACGGUCGUGCGGUCACUUAGAGAUGGACCCGCGCGUCCUUAACUAGCUUGUACGGUAAAGGCUUACCAAGGCACCGAUGCAUAGCCGACCCGAGAGGGUGAUCGGCCACACUGGAACUGAGCCACGGUCCAGACUCCUACGGGAGGCAGCAGUAGUGAAUCUUCCGCAAUGGGCGAACGCCUGACGGAGCAACGCCGCGUGAGUGAUGAAGGUCUUCGGAUCGUAAAACUCUGUUAUUAGGGAAGAACAUAUGUGUAAGUAACUGUGCACAUCUUGACGGUACCUAAUCAGAAAGCCACGGCUAACUACGUG